AGUUUGAUCCUGGCUCAGGAUGAACGCUGGCGGCGUGCUUAACACAUGCAAGUCGAGCGAAGCACUUAUGCGGAAGUUUUCGGAUGGAAGCGUAAUUGACUGAGCGGCGGACGGGUGAGUAACGCGUGGGGAACCUGCCUCAGUACAGGGGAAUAACAGUUAGAAAUGACUGCUAAUGCCGCAUAAGCGCACACUGUGGCAUCACAGGGUGUGAAAAACUCCGGUGGUAUGAGAUGGCCCCGCGUCUGAUUAGGCAGUUGGCGGGGUAACGGCCCACCAAACCGACGAUCAGUAGCCGACCUGAGAGGGUGACCGGCCACAUUGGGACUGAGACACGGCCCAAACUCCUACGGGAGGCAGCAGUGGGGAAUAUUGCACAAUGGGGGAAACCCUGAUGCAGCGACGCCGCGUGGGUGACGAAGUAUUUCGGUAUGUAAAGCCUUAUCAGCAGGGAAGAAGAUGACAGUACCUGACCAAGAAGCCCCGGCUAACUACGUG
RNAcentral lists this ribosomal RNA (498 nucleotides) under uncultured Lachnospiraceae bacterium. Its description in RNAcentral is "bacterial SSU rRNA". It matches the Rfam family "Bacterial small subunit ribosomal RNA", at positions 10 to 507 of the family's 1533-position model. The record is from RNAcentral. Lineage: Bacteria; Bacillati; Bacillota; Clostridia; Lachnospirales; Lachnospiraceae.